GACGAACGCUGGCGGCGUGCUUAACACAUGCAAGUCGAACGGAAAGGCCCUGCUUGCCGGGUACUCGAGUGGCGAACGGGUGAGUAACACGUGGGUGAUCUGCCCUGCACUUCGGGAUAAGCUUGGGAAACUGGGUCUAAUACCGGAUAGGAGCCAUCUUUAGUGUGGUGGUUGGAAAGUUUUUUCGGUGUAGGAUGAGCUCGCGGCCUAUCAGCUUGUUGGUGGGGUAAUGGCCUACCAAGGCGGCGACGGGUAGCCGGCCUGAGAGGGUGUACGGCCACAGCGGGAAUGAGAGACGGCCCAGACUCCUACGGGAGGCAGCAGUGGGGAAUAUUGCACAAUGGGCGCAAGCCUGAUGCAGCGACGCCGCGUGGGGGAUGAAGGCCUUCGGGUUGUAAACUCCUGUCGCUAGGGACGAAGCGUUUUUGUGACGGUACCUAGAGAAGAAGCACCGGCUAACUACGUG
Molecule: ribosomal RNA, 466 nt
Filed under: uncultured bacterium
Lineage: Bacteria
Description: partial 16S ribosomal RNA
Rfam family: Bacterial small subunit ribosomal RNA
Source: RNAcentral